This is a long non-coding RNA of Anolis carolinensis (green anole), 3186 nucleotides long. RefSeq lists it as uncharacterized. Lineage: Eukaryota; Metazoa; Chordata; Lepidosauria; Squamata; Anolidae. The transcript has 3 exons. The record is from RefSeq and is a predicted model, not a curated record.
CAAAUGAGGUGUGAUUCAAACAUACACCCACCUCCAAAUGAGAUCUGAUGCAAACAUACACCCACCUCCACUGAGGUCUGAUGCAAACAUACACCCACCUCCACUGAGGUCUGAUGCAAACAUACACCCACCUCCAAAUGAGGUGUGAUUCAAACAUACACCCACCUCCAAAUGAGAUCUGAUGCAAACAUGCAUCCACCUCCACUGAGGUCUGAUGCAAACAUACACCCACCUCCACUGAGGUCUGAUGCAAACAUACACCCACCUCCAAAUGAGGUGUGAUUCAAACAUACACCCACCUCCAAAUGAGAUCUGAUGCAAACAUACACCCACCUCCACUGAGGUCUGAUGCAAACAUACACCCACCUCCAAAUGAGGUGUGAUUCAAACAUACACCCACCUCCAAAUGAGAUCUGAUGCAAACAUGCAUCCACCUCCACUGAGGUCUGAUGCAAACAUACACCCACCUCCACUGAGGUCUGAUGCAAACAUACACCCACCUCCACUGAGGUCUGAUGCAAACAUACACCCACCUCCAAAUGAGGUGUGAUUCAAACAUACACCCACCUCCAAAUGAGAUCUGAUGCAAACAUGCAUCCACCUCCACUGAGGUCUGAUGCAAACAUACACCCACCUCCAAAUGAGGUGUGAUUCAAACAUACACCCACCUCCAAAUGAGAUCUGAUGCAAACAUGCAUCCACCUCCACUGAGGUCUGAUGCAAACAUACACCCACCUCCACUGAGGUCUGAUGCAAACAUACACCCACCUCCACUGAGGUCUGAUGCAAACAUACACCCACCUCCAAAUGAGGUGUGAUUCAAACAUACACCCACCUCCAAAUGAGAUCUGAUGCAAACAUACACCCACCUCCACUGAGGUCUGAUGCAAACAUACACCCACCUCCAAAUGAGGUGUGAUUCAAACAUACACCCACCUCCAAAUGAGAUCUGAUGCAAACAUACACCCACCUCCACUGAGGUCUGAUGCAAACAUACACCCACCUCCAAAUGAGGUGUGAUUCAAACAUACACCCACCUCCAAAUGAGAUCUGAUGCAAACAUGCAUCCACCUCCACUGAGGUCUGAUGCAAACAUACACCCACCUCCACUGAGGUCUGAUGCAAACAUACACCCACCUCCAAAUGAGGUCUGAUGCAAACAUACACCCACCUCCACUGAGGUCUGAUGCAAACAUACACCCACCUCCACUGAGGUCUGAUGCAAACAUACACCCACCUCCAAAUGAGGUGUGAUUCAAACAUACACCCACCUCCAAAUGAGAUCUGAUGCAAACAUGCAUCCACCUCCACUGAGGUCUGAUGCAAACAUACACCCACCUCCAAAUGAGGUGUGAUUCAAACAUACACCCACCUCCAAAUGAGAUCUGAUGCAAACAUGCAUCCACCUCCACUGAGGUCUGAUGCAAACAUACACCCACCUCCACUGAGGUCUGAUGCAAACAUACACCCACCUCCACUGAGGUCUGAUGCAAACAUACACCCACCUCCAAAUGAGGUGUGAUUCAAACAUACACCCACCUCCAAAUGAGAUCUGAUGCAAACAUACACCCACCUCCACUGAGGUCUGAUGCAAACAUACACCCACCUCCAAAUGAGGUGUGAUUCAAACAUACACCCACCUCCAAAUGAGAUCUGAUGCAAACAUACACCCACCUCCACUGAGGUCUGAUGCAAACAUACACCCACCUCCAAAUGAGGUGUGAUUCAAACAUACACCCACCUCCAAAUGAGAUCUGAUGCAAACAUGCAUCCACCUCCACUGAGGUCUGAUGCAAACAUACACCCACCUCCACUGAGGUCUGAUGCAAACAUACACCCACCUCCACUGAGGUCUGAUGCAAACAUACACCCACCUCCACUGAGGUCUGAUGCAAACAUACACCCACCUCCAAAUGAGGUGUGAUUCAAACAUACACCCACCUCCAAAUGAGAUCUGAUGCAAACAUACACCCACCUCCACUGAGGUCUGAUGCAAACAUACACCCACCUCCAAAUGAGGUGUGAUUCAAACAUACACCCACCUCCAAAUGAGAUCUGAUGCAAACAUACACCCACCUCCACUGAGGUCUGAUGCAAACAUACACCCACCUCCAAAUGAGGUGUGAUUCAAACAUACACCCACCUCCAAAUGAGAUCUGAUGCAAACAUGCAUCCACCUCCACUGAGGUCUGAUGCAAACAUACACCCACCUCCACUGAGAUCUGAUGCAAACAUACACUCACCUCCACUGAGGUCUGAUGCAAACAUACACUCACCUCCACUGAGGUCUGAUGCAAACAUACACCCACCUCCACUGAGGUCUGAUGCAACCAUACACACACCUGCACUGAGAUCUGAUGCAAACAUACACCCACCUCCACUGAGGUCUGAUGCAAACAUACACCCACCUCCAAAUGAGGUGUGAUUCAAACAUACACCCACCUCCAAAUGAGAUCUGAUGCAAACAUGCAUCCACCUCCACUGAGGUCUGAUGCAAACAUACACCCACCUCCACUGAGGUCUGAUGCAAACAUACACUCACCUCCACUGAGGUCUGAUGCAAACAUACACCCACCUCCACUGAGGUGUGAUUCAAACAUACACCCACCUCCAAAUGAGAUCUGAUGCAAACAUGCAUCCACCUCCACUGAGGUCUGAUGCAAACAUGCACCCAUCUCCACUGAGGUGUGAUUCAAACAUACACCCACCUCCAAAUGAGGUCUGAUGCAAACAUGAAUCCACCUCCACUGAGGUCUGAUGCAACCAUACACACACCUGCACUGAGAUCUGAUGCAAACAUGAAUUCACCUCCACUGAGGUCUGAUGCAACCAUACACACACCUGCACUGAGAUCUGAUGCAAACUUGAAUCCACCUCCACUGAGGUCUGAUGCAAACAUGCAUCUAACUCCACCGAGGUCUGAUGAAACAUGAAUCCACCUCCACCGAGGUCUGAUGCAAACAGGGCUGAAGUUGGACCAUGCCUGCUUUCCUUGUGAGCUUUUGCCCUGCCUCCCCCCCUCGUGUGACCCCCGCCCAUUGCUCCAGCGGCCCUUGGAGGGAGGGAGAAAGGGCUGUGGGCGCUUCUGCCUGUUGUCCUUAGAGGGGGGUGUCCAGGCAGGGGGUUAUCCCCCCCCCCUCGGACCCUGCACCUGACCCUUCUGCCUCUUUCCUUGUGGUGCCUCUU